GUUGGUGGAGUGAUUUGUCUGGUUAAUUCCGUUAACGAACGAGACCCCCGCCUGCUAACUAGUCGCCUUAAUGCCUAGCAUUGAGGUGUACUUCUUAGAGGGACUUUCGGUGAUUAAUCGAAGGAAGUUGGGGGCAAUAACAGGU
RNAcentral lists this ribosomal RNA (145 nucleotides) under Ochrophyta sp. Its description in RNAcentral is "partial small subunit ribosomal RNA". It matches the Rfam family "Eukaryotic small subunit ribosomal RNA", at positions 1297 to 1461 of the family's 1831-position model. The record is from RNAcentral.